Patiria miniata (bat star) is the source of this 314-nucleotide long non-coding RNA. RefSeq lists it as uncharacterized. Lineage: Eukaryota; Metazoa; Echinodermata; Asteroidea; Valvatida; Asterinidae. The record is from RefSeq and is a predicted model, not a curated record. The transcript is spliced from 3 exons.
GUUGCGAGUCCAUGACCCAGGUCUAAUACUCGGGAUAGUCGUAAGCAGCGCUUUAACUCUCGUCUCGUGCUGUCCACUGUUACUUCUACCGCAAUACACCGAUGACCUCCCAUUCAAAGUACCACUGAUGCCCUUGCUACCGCUGAUUGCUUUGCUUGCUGCUGUCAUUCUGUUGCUACACUUUAAUUCCUUGGUCUAUGUAGGAGUCGUCGUUUGGUUGUGUUUAGGACUCAUCGUGUACUUUACGUACGGCAUGAAGCACAGCGUGGAGGCCACACGACAAGAUGUUCACCUGAAUGAUCAGUGACGAAGGC